UAGGGAAUCUUCCACAAUGGGCGAAAGCCUGAUGGAGCAACGCCGCGUGUGUGAUGAAGGGUUUCGGCUCGUAAAACACUGUUGUAAGAGAAGAAUGACAUUGAGAGUAACUGUUCAAUGUGUGACGGUAUCUUGCCAGAAAGGAACGGCUAAAUACGUGCAAG
This 164-nucleotide ribosomal RNA is filed under the name uncultured bacterium. RNAcentral's name for it is "partial 16S rRNA". It matches the Rfam family "Bacterial small subunit ribosomal RNA", at positions 355 to 511 of the family's 1533-position model. The record is from RNAcentral.